This 337-nucleotide ribosomal RNA is filed under the name uncultured bacterium. RNAcentral describes it as "partial 16S ribosomal RNA". It matches the Rfam family "Bacterial small subunit ribosomal RNA", at positions 338 to 692 of the family's 1533-position model. The record is from RNAcentral.
CCUACGGGUGGCAGCAGUAGGGAAUAUUGCUCAAUGGGGGAAACCCUGAAGCAGCAACGCCGCGUGGAGGAUGAAGGUUUUCGGAUUGUAAACUCCUUUUGUUAGAGAAGAGAAUGACGGUAUCUAACGAAUAAGCAACGGCUAACUCCGGGCCAGCAGCCGCGGUAAUACGGAGGGUGCAAGCGUUACUCGGAAUAACUGGGCGUACAGAGCGCGUAGGCGGGAUAGCAAGUAAGAUGUGAAAUCCUAUGGCUUACCCAUAGAACUGCAUUUGAAACUGUUAUUCUAGAGUAUGGGAGAGGUAGUUGGAAUUCUUGGUGUAGCGGUCAAAUCCGUA